Molecule: ribosomal RNA, 118 nt
Organism: Pteropus vampyrus (large flying fox)
Lineage: Eukaryota; Metazoa; Chordata; Mammalia; Chiroptera; Pteropodidae
Source: Ensembl
GUCUACGGCCAUGCCACACUGAACGUGCCCGAUCUUGUCUGAUUUGGAAGAUAAGCAGGAUCAGGCUUGGUUAGUACUUGGAUGGGAAACCACCUAGGAAUACUAGGUGCGAUAGGCA